GACGAACGCUGGCGGCGUGCUUAACACAUGCAAGUCGAGCGGAAAGGCCCUUUUCGGGGGUACUCGAGCGGCGAACGGGGUGAGUAACACGUGAGUAAUCUGCCCUUGGCUUUGGGAUAACCACCGGAAACGGUGGCUAAUACCGGAUAUGACGGGCUCCGGCAUCGGGGUUCGUGGAAAGUUUUUCGGCCAGGGAUGUGCUCGCGGCCUAUCAGCUUGUUGGUGGGGUAAUGGCCUACCAAGGCUUCGACGGGUAGCCGGCCUGAGAGGGUGACCGGCCACACUGGGACUGAGACACGGCCCAGACUCCUACGGGAGGCAGCAGUGGGGAAUAUUGGACAAUGGGCGGAAGCCUGAUCCAGCAACGCCGCGUGAGGGAUGACGGCCUGGUUGUAACGUACUUCUAGUACCGUACGAACGACG
Molecule: ribosomal RNA, 423 nt
Filed under: uncultured bacterium
Lineage: Bacteria
Description: bacterial SSU rRNA
Rfam family: Bacterial small subunit ribosomal RNA
Source: RNAcentral